RNAcentral lists this ribosomal RNA (645 nucleotides) under fungal endophyte. RNAcentral describes it as "eukaryotic LSU rRNA". The stretch from base 190 to 342 matches the Rfam family "5.8S ribosomal RNA". Lineage: Eukaryota; Fungi. The record is from RNAcentral.
CAUUAAAGGUAGGCCGUUCGGGUGCCUUGUGCCCCCGAACGGCUGUCCGCUCAACCCCUGAUAUCUUUUUGGGUAGCGAUACCCACUGUUCUUUCCGGUGUUCGUGGGCGGGUCUCUCGUAGGCUCUGCCCCGGCCCGGGUCAGUAAAUUCUUGCGAUAAAUUGAAGUCUGAAUAUGUUCUAAAAGCAAAACUUUCAACAACGGAUCUCUUGGCUCUGGCAACGAUGAAGAACGCAGCGAAACGCGAAAGGUAAUGCGAAUUGCAGAAUCAGUGAAUCAUCGAAUUUUUGAACGCACAUUGCGCCCCCUGGUAUUCCGGGGGGCACGCCUGUCCGAGCGCCAUUUCAACCCCCAAGCUCUGCUUGAUGUUGGGCGACGCCUUAACUGGCCCGCCUGGAAUUUGUUGGCGCCGCUGCCAGUGCCGCAACGUAACAUUAUAACUUCGUUGUCCGGUGCCUGGUGGGCGGUCUGCCUGUUCUUUCUCAUGGUUUGGCCUCGGAUCAGGCGGGGAUACCCGCUGAACUUAAGCAUAUCAAUAAGCGGAGGAAAAGAAACCAACCGGGAUUGCCCUAGUAACGGCGAGUGAAGCGGCAAAAGCUCAAAUUUGAAAUCUGGGGUCUUGCGGCCUCCGAGUUGUAAUUUGCA